GACGAACGCUGGCGGCGUGCUUAACACAUGCAAGUCGAACGGAAAGGCCCUGCUUUUGUGGGGUGCUCGAGUGGCGAACGGGUGAGUAACACGUGAGUAACCUGCCCUUGACUUUGGGAUAACUUCAGGAAACUGGGGCUAAUACCGGAUAGGAGCUCCUGCUGCAUGGUGGGGGUUGGAAAGUUUCGGCGGUUGGGGGUGGACUCGCGGCUUAUCAGCUUGUUGGUGGGGUAGUGGCUUACCAAGGCUUUGACGGGUAGCCGGCCUGAGAGGGUGACCGGCCACAUUGGGACUGAGAUACGGCGCAGACUCCUACGGGAGGCAGCAGUGGGGAAUAUUGCACAAUGGGCGGAAGCCUGAUGCAGCAACGCCGCGUGCGGGAUGACGGCCUUCGGGUUGUAAACCGCUUUCGCCUGUGACGAAGCGUGAGUGACGGUAAUGGGUAAAGAAGCACCGGCUAACUACGUG
This 468-nucleotide ribosomal RNA is filed under the name uncultured bacterium. RNAcentral's name for it is "partial 16S ribosomal RNA". It matches the Rfam family "Bacterial small subunit ribosomal RNA", at positions 28 to 507 of the family's 1533-position model. The record is from RNAcentral.